UAAAGCUAAAUACUGGGCCAGAGACCGAUAGCGCACAAGUAGAGGGAUUGAAAGAUGAAAAGCACUUUGGAAAGAGAGUUAAAGCAGUACGUGAAAUUGUUGAAAGGGAAGCGCUUGCAACCAGACUUGCGCGCAGCCGAUCAUCCCGGUGUUCUCUCCGGUGCACUCGGUUGCGCUCAGGCCAGCAUCGGUUUCGGUGGAUGGAUAAAGGCCCGGGGAAUGUAGCUCCUCUCGGGGAGUGUUAUAGCCCUGGGUGCAAUGCAGCCUACCGGGACCGAGGACCGCGCUUCGGCUAGGAUGCUGGCGUAAUGGUUGUAAGCGACCCGUCUUGAAACACGGACCAAGGAGUCUAACAUCUAUGCGAGUGUUUGGGUGUCAAACCCAUACGCGUAAUGAAAGUGAACGGAGGUGAGAACCCUUAAGGGUGCAUCAUCGACCGAUCCUGAUGUCUUCGGAUGGAUUUGAGUAAGAGCAUAGCUGUUGGGACCCGAAAGAUGGUGAACUAUGCCUGAAUAGGGUGAAGCCAGAGGAAACUCUGGUGGAGGCUCGCAGCGGUUCUGACGUGCAAAUCGAUCGUCAAAUUUGGGUAUAGGGGCGAAAGACUAAUCGAACCAUUACACGGAUGUACCGCACCCCUCCGGGAGUGUCGUUACUAGGUGGUUGAGAGGCGGCUCAAAGUGCCGUCUAGUGGCAGUCGCACUGCAACACCGUCAAAUUGCGGGGACAUCCUACGAUGAAGUAUAGCUACCGCAGCCAGUCCGAAAGGGCUGGUGCGCACCAGGGUAAUGACCUCGGGGAUGGUAAGAACGCUAUAUGGAGGGACGAUCCGCAGCCAAGCCCUGUCGAAUGGGUGCAGUUCACAGACUAGAUGUCGGUGGGUGACCGCCUCCGCGGCGGUUGCUUAAGAUAUAGUCGAACCCUCGGGUAACCGAGCCGUUCGGAUGAAGCUACAGAGGUGCGAUUCCUGCGCCGCA
This 974-nucleotide ribosomal RNA is filed under the name Collophorina sp. PC-2022a. Its description in RNAcentral is "partial large subunit ribosomal RNA". It matches the Rfam family "Eukaryotic large subunit ribosomal RNA", at positions 311 to 1495 of the family's 3401-position model. Lineage: Eukaryota; Fungi; Ascomycota; Leotiomycetes; Phacidiales. The record is from RNAcentral.